GUAUUAAAGGUGUUGCCUGCCCAGUGAAACAUUUAAACGGCCGCGGUAUCCUAACCGUGCAAAGGUAGCGUAAUCACUUGUCUUUUAAAUAAAGACUCGUAUGAAAGGCUAAAUGAAGACGAAACUGUCUCUUAUGAUUGACCAGUAAAACUGAUCUCCAAGUACAAAAGCUUGGAUAAACACAUAAGACGAGAAGACCCUGUGGAGCUUAAAACUUCACUAUUAAAACAAAUAGCACAGGUUUUAAGUUGGGGCGACUUCGGAACAAAAUAAAACUUCCGAGCACAGAACCAAUAAUUCUAACAUAGACCUACAAGUCAAAGAACAAUAUUGACCCAGUCACACUGAACAACGAACCAAGUUACCCCAGGGAUAACAGCGCCAUCUUCUUCAAGAGUCCCUAUCGACAAGAAGGUUUACGACCUCGAUGUUGGAUCAGGACACCCAAAUGGUGCAACAG
This 460-nucleotide ribosomal RNA is filed under the name Lygisaurus novaeguineae. RNAcentral describes it as "partial 16S ribosomal RNA". It matches the Rfam family "Bacterial large subunit ribosomal RNA", at positions 1843 to 2561 of the family's 2925-position model. The record is from RNAcentral. Lineage: Eukaryota; Metazoa; Chordata; Lepidosauria; Squamata; Scincidae.